Molecule: ribosomal RNA, 301 nt
Filed under: uncultured bacterium
Lineage: Bacteria
Description: partial 16S ribosomal RNA
Rfam family: Bacterial small subunit ribosomal RNA
Source: RNAcentral
CAGUCGCCGCGGUAAUACGGAGGGUGCAAGCGUUAAUCGGAAUUACUGGGCGUAAAGCGUGCGUAGGCGGUUCGUUAAGUCUGUUGUGAAAGCCCCGGGCUCAACCUGGGAAUGGCAAUGGAUACUGGCGAGCUAGAGUGUGUCAGAGGAUGGUGGAAUUCCCGGUGUAGCGGUGAAAUGCGUAGAGAUCGGGAGGAACAUCAGUGGCGAAGGCGGCCAUCUGGGACAACACUGACGCUGAGGCACGAAAGCGUGGGGAGCAAACAGGAUUAGAGACCCCUGUAGUCCCUGUCUCUUAUAC